RNAcentral lists this long non-coding RNA (13845 nucleotides) under Homo sapiens (human). RNAcentral describes it as "HSALNT0314828". The record is from RNAcentral. Lineage: Eukaryota; Metazoa; Chordata; Mammalia; Primates; Hominidae.
GAGAAAGAAACAGGGUAGCUGAACAGACACUCAAUUAUAGGGGAAGGGCCAUCUUCCAGAGGUACGUAGGGAGAAAAAUGGCAUUCGGCUUGAACUCUGCUCCUUCUUUAUCAUCAGCUGAGCUGGACCUGCAGAACUUCCUGUGGGUUUUGCAGAAUCAAUGGAGAUUGGAUAACAGAGGAGAGAGAAGGUAGCAUUUAGGAAAGGAAAGCAUGUGUGCACAGGAGCUGGAAUGGACAUGGGACUUUCAGAGGUGGCAAGGCUUGACCAAAACAAGAGACAGUUGGAGGAAUCAAAGGAAAAGACUGAAGGAAAGGAGGAACACUGUAAUGUUUUUGAGAAGAAGGUGUUGAAGGAACCUCAGUCUUGCAGUUGUGGGCUGAGCUAUUGCAGAGAUGAGAACCUGGGGCAAGAGAUGAUAAUGAGAGAGUAGAACCAGUUGGUAUAGAAUUACUCUACAACAGAAAGGAGCAUUCUAGCAAACAUCUAUUCCUGAUACUGCAAGUUAGAUUUUAUUAUACUUUAAAAGGAAGAGAGGAGGUAUCUCUCAAAAAGACAUGAACACAGACCAACAACAGAGGUAUGGUCAGAGUUUUCCAAAUGAGGGAAUUUCCAAUAAGGAGUUCACAAGUAUAAAUGAAGAAAUGAUAAACAAAUCAAACAUUUGGGAACAAGAUAAUUCCAAAAUCUGUAAAGUUGAUUCAGAAAUCUCUGUUUGGAAAUAAUAUUAUUUAUUUCCCAAUUCAACAUUUUUCACAUGGUGUAAGCAAAAUGAAAACAGUCUGGAAAUAAUAAAUGAGGGCUGUCUUUCUAGGGGAAGAGGUGGGUAAUGGAUGAGGCUUCAAUCUGUGCUCUGCUCAGGGGCUGUUCCGUUUAGUCCUGGCACUUCUGCAGUGAUGAAGGUCUUUUCCUCACUCAAACUCCACUUUACAAUGGUUUCUCUGGGGACCGUGGCUGAGUGACAUUUACUAUCCUCAAUUCAAGUUAACAGAUUGCCCUCAAAGACCUGGAAUUUACACUGCACAACUACGGGGUCACAAGGUGGCUGCUGCUUUCUCCACUACUCAUUGGACCCUCAGUGAGUCCCUACUACAUGCAGCCCCUCAGGGAGAGGAUGCAGAGCACUUGUUCUGAAGAUGCUGCUAGUCCAGGAAAGCCAUAAAGAGUUAGAAGUGUGAUAAGGACUCAGAGCCAGAGUGUCCUCUGGGACCUUGAAGGCAGGUAUGCCCUGUUCCCAUUAGAGACCUUGUGGUGGCUGUGAAAUGCACCUCUCAGAGUUCCUACUCCUUGAAGAGUAAUUAACUAACAGCUCCAGUUCCUGCACUCUGCAGUCCAUCACCAUAUUCACACAGAGGCCCUGAUUCCCACAGGCUGCUCCCAGCCAAUGAAUGAGAGCAGCAGGGAUGCCAUGGCAGACCCAUUCCUGCGAUAUAUGGGACUACUCUGAUGGGCAACUUCCAAUCAGAGACUCCCCAGUGGCCUUUCCAACACUACCUUAUAACCCCCACAGCAAGCUAAAGCUCUUCCUACCCUACCCAAUCCUCCUUCCUUCCCUCUCUCCUUUACAGAGAUCAGACCUUUCUUAUGGUCUGAUGGCUUUCCCAGCCUCCUCUGACUCCCAUCUCAUUUCCCCAGUAAAUCUUUCAUACAUCUAAUCCCAUCUUUGUGUCUGCUUCAUGGAGGGUCUGAAUUAAUGUAGUUUUGAUUCCCCCUACAACUUCCCUGUUGGGAAUUUGCUGCCAAGCUCCUGCUGUACCCCCAGAGAGGGGAGACUUCUUGCCUCCAGGAGCUGCUGUUCUAUACUUAGGUAAGUCUCACCAAUUUACAUAUCUUCCGAUCUUUAUUUGAAAGUUAUCUUCUUCCCACUGUUUUCCUUUCUACCAACUGAAGUAAGAAAGGAUGUUCCCCCUCCCACAAAAUGUCUUGUCAAAUAUCUAAGGAAACUAGUUAGAUCUUCCUUGAGCUAUUCCUGCUGAAAAAAAAAUAGUCAAAUAUUUCUCCCAUGACCAUUACAUGCCACCCAAGAUGGCUCUUUUCCAAAUGAGACCAUGUUCCCUAAAUUCUCCUUAGGCUUGGGGCUUGGAAGUGAAUCCAAUUCUCUUUCCACUAUUUGAGCAGCAAAGAUUAGAAUAAAACUAAUAUCUAUCAUGAUCUGUGUAUUAUAUAUCUAUUAAUAUGACCGAUAGCCUUUGGAUCAAAAACAUGUCCCUGCUGUUCAGUCCUGAAAUGGCAGUUAUAUAUAACCUUUAGGUUUCCCCAUGGUAUGCUCCUCAUCUUUUGUCUGUAGAGUUGGCUUUUGGCUUUGACUAUGAGAAUGUACAUGUAUCUCAACCUUUACGGUGUUAAAUUUGGCCUAUUGGUUUAGUAAGUGGAAAUAAUUUAUCUUGAUUAAGCUGUCAAGUGUAUUUUUUCUUGCCUGCAACUUAGUAGUAUCUAUAACCCAGGUUAAUUAAUUAAUUAAACAUAUUUAUUGAGCAUCUGUCAAGUACCAGUCACUUUUUAGGUUCUAGAGGCACCAUAGUGAACAAAAUAAAAUUUCUAGCCCUCAUAGAGCUUACUUUCUAGUGGGGGGAUUCAGCAGAGACUAGAGCUAAUAAAUGAAUCAUAAGCUGUGUUAAAAUAUAUUAAGUACAUGAAAAAAUGGAAAGGGGAAAGGGACACAGGAUGCCAGAGGUGAGAGGUGUGUGAUCAGGGAAGGCUGCCUGAGAAGCAGAUGCAGGAGCACAGGGUUGAAGGAGGGAAGGGAGGGAGCUGAGUGGGUAUCUGGAGCAGCCAGGACAAAGGGGCUGAUCUGGGGGCAUCAGGGAGUCAGUGGGACCCAGAAGAGAGGAGUCCACAGGGGGCAGGACCCUGAGGGACACUAGAAGGAGUUUGGCUUCUACCCUGAGCAAGCUGGAGGGCCAUAGGAGGACUGUCAACAAGGCACGGUGAUGUAAUCUGACUUAUAUGAUACUAUUAUCACUCUCUGCUGUGCUCCAAAUAGAAUGCAGGGGCCAUGUAAAAGCAGGAAGCCAAUCACAGCACUGCUGUAGUAAUAUAGCUGGGAAACAAUGGCUGCUAAGACCUGGCCUGAGCAGCACAGUAGGCAGAUUCUGAAUCUAUUUAGAAUAUUUCCAUGAAUAUGGGAUGUGGAAGAAACAGAAGAGUCAAGUGACUACAAGGGUUUUGGCCUAAACAUCUGGAAGAAUGGGGCUGCCAUCAACUGAGAACAGGGAGACAUUUCUAGAAGCAGUUUGAGAGGAGAGCCCAGGUGCUCCACUUCAGACCUGUUAGAUUUGAGAUGUCCAAGGUGUCCCAGAGCAGAUGCUGAGUACCAGAUAGGUGCAUAAGGUCCAUGUUGGAGACCAAUGUGGAGUCACCAAUAUUUCACAGAUAUUGAAAUAAGUGGAACUUGCAGAGAUCACCAAGAGAAUCAAUAGAUAGAAAAAAUUCAAGAUUCAGAAGAUGAGGAGAAAACACUAAAGAGGCCUGAGAAGGAAAAGCCACCAAUGAAGCAGAAGAAAAACCAGGAGAGUGUGAUCGCCUAGAAACCAAGUGGAAAUAAGGUGCUCCCAGGAGGACAGAAUACGUUAAAUGCUGUUGCUAAGUCAGGUAAAAUGAAAGUAAGAGCUGAGUCCUGGACUUAGCAACAAGGCUUGAUGGUUAAAUAUGUGAAUGGCCUGUGAUCAUCUUUCCCAACACCUUGCAAUCACGGGACAGAGUCAUGGGGGAGGAUAAAGACAGUUCAGGGAAGGCGAGGCAGUUUUCUGGAAUCAGUCCAGAUCAUUUGAGGAUCCCAGUGGGUCCACAAAGACAGGGUGAACAAAUAGCUCCUGACAGUUCUUUCCUUCCACUGCACGCUGUGACUCUCAGGCUGCCCUUGCAGACCUCUGCGGAGGCACAAUUUACAUGUUGUGAAUCACGUCAGUUUCAUACAGGACUUCAGAGUCCCUCUGUCUUGAGAGCUGAAACAUCAUGUAUUUAAAAAAUGGAAAGAUCAAUGCUAAUGGCCUGAGGAUUUUGCCGGGCUUGGUUCUUCUCCUUGCCUCUACUCUCUGGAAAGCCAUCAUUAAAAACUCAAGAUAUUUGCCAAACACUGUGCCAGUCCUGUUCUAAGCACUGGGGACAGAAGAACAAGUAAGAAAGUCACAGCCCUGCACUUCUGUGCAGGAGUCUAGUUGGGGUCAGAUGGUAAAGAGGCAAUCACAGGGCAGAGUGAUCCAGAGGCAACUGACAGUGAAAUCCAUGGAGAGAAACGCUCCUGUCACUACACAUGGUAUGGACUCCCCAGCAGUCAGCGGCACUCGGGUCUGGGAAGAGCUGCCAGAGGGUGAUGGCCAUCCCUGCCUGUAUUUCUCAGAUUCAUGGCAAUGACAUGAGGGUUACAGGCCCUGUGGAAGACUGUGUAUUCUCACACAGGUCAUUCUAAAUGGUUUACAUUUUAUUACGAUGGGAUUUAGCACAUGGGAGAAAGCAAGAAAGCAUUUCUUAUCCUCCCUGAAAAUCACGGGCAGCUUAUGUUCAGUGCUCUGCCAUCAACAGUCACCUGCAGUGAUGAAUUUGGUUUUUCCCUCUCCAAGGGCAAAUGUCACCUCUUGAUCUGUUGUUUUAUGUGCUAUGAAACUUUCGGACAAAACAGAAAAUAAUAAGAAUGAGCUCUGGUAUUCACUCAAACACCAACUUCUUCUAGCAAAACUAAAGCUAAAGAUUAAAGAGGGAUGAGAAGAUUAAUUCAAAGAAGUAUCCCCUUUUGCCCCCAUAUACAAUGGUUUUCACAGUAAGUCCUGGCUAAUUGUCUUUUCUCUAUAUUCCUCAGAUGAAGGGAUAGUUUGCUUGAACAUCUGAAAGAGUCUCUUUUUGGCAAACACACAUAAAGGUUUUGAAUAAAUUACACAUUCUACUGAGAGAAAGAAAUGAAAAUAAAGAGUUCACAAGAUUAUUCAAAUUUAGCAAAGAAACAAAUAUGGACCCUUCUUCAGAAAACGUAAGCAGAAAGACUUAGUUUGGGGUUACUUGGAAAGAACCUGAUGAAGUUUCAAGAAAGAUGUGUGAGGUCUAAAGAGGCAGUGCCCGGUAAAUCCAAAUGGAAUCAAAGGUGCCCUGCACCCUUUCUUAGCAAAUGAAGAGGCUGACCCAACAGAGUACAGGCACCCAAAUAGGAGAGCAAAGAGCAAAGAAGAGUGUCAUCAGACUCCAAGGAAAAAUCAACUAGGGUUCAAACAGAAUCAGAAUGAGAGUGUCGAAGAAGAGAGUUAUAGCCAACAAUAAAAGGCCUUGUAAAUGUGUCAGAAGCAGAAAGAGAAUUAAAACAUCACUGGUCAAGGGGCUCUGGGAUGGAGAAAAACAAAGGCAGGCUGAGUGAGUGAGUCCUUUGUCUCUGUUUUUGCCACCAAAGACUUUGGGGAAAACUUACUCUCAAAUUGCUUUUAAAGCAGACAGAUCCAAGAUAGUAUAUCACAUACAGCAGAGGAAGAGCACAGAAUGUUCUUGCCUGAAUUGACAAAGGAGAUGUGAAUAAAUUACAGGGACAGGAUGGCCCUAGCUGCAAGUUGUGAAAGAGCUCACAGAUGACGUGGAACAAAUGUUGGCCCAAACUAGUCACUGACCACUGGUCACUGCCAGUAGUAUCGAAGAUGCAGCCUGGCAGACCACCAGACAGCCCUCCAUUUGUACAAACGGUCCCAAAGGGAACUGUGAAGUCCCAGGAGACUCAGGCUGGGUCUGAGAUGGUGGCAUGACUCUAUCUCAAAAGUUAAUAACCCAGACUCUGGAUCCUAGAGUUCUGAUGUGCAGGAGUUUUACUGUCAUAUCACAGGUUCACGUGGGCCAAGCAUUUUAUGUUUAUGACAUUCCUUGACACUUUAAUUUAGUUACCGACUCAGUUAUCUUCAAAGGUUUCUUCUUACUCAUUUUGUUUUCCUUAUCUGAUAGGGGCAUCCUCCUCCAACAAUUAAGCAUCUCAGAUUCCAAAAAUACAAGAUUUACUUGAUGCUUUUUUUCUAGGACAAUUACUAAGUUUUAAUACAUUACAAUGCUUAUUAAAAAUACUUCACAAUCUUUUAGUUGAUUUUUGUGCCAAAAUACUUCUUUCAACAGUUUUAACCAUAAUCAGUUUUGGGACCUAACAAAUGAUAUAACAGUUUACUGUGUUAAAAUUAACGUACAUACACUCAGACUUCAGUUGAUCUAUUGGAGUAAAAUGUUUAAAGAGGUUAUAAAAUUAUGAAACUCAGAUUUCAGAGUUCAGCAAAUCUUAUCUAAAAGGGAAAACAGUGUUGUGUGUGUGGGUGGAAAUUGUGACGGGGACAGCCUUGUUUGAGGACAUCUCUUGCCAGCUCUAGGAAGAUGUAGGUCACAGCUGAGCUGCCUCUGCCUUAGCUUGGGCAAAUGCUCUAGCAACUCUUCUAGACGGCAAAUGCUGUUUCCAGUGAGAGAACAGCGUUUCCCAGCCAAAUCAUCCUUGGACUAACUACCUGUGAUCUAUAGCACAGACCAUAGCUGUGAAGAAAACGGGUAAGGUACCCAACUAGACGCCUAUCUGGACACAAUAGUCAACAGGAUGGAUACAGGGCGUUCUCUCCUGGAGAUGCCAGUCAGUUCAUGGAGUUGACUUGACUUGCCACAGGAGCAUGGAGGAUGGAUCACCUGCACCCUCCUCCCUCCCAUCCUCUUUGCCUCUUUAUGAGAUGCCUCUUUAUGGGAUAGCUCACAAGGUGAACAGCAACUAUCUAAUAAUCCAACUGGUGUCCCCUCUCCAAUAAGGGUUAUAACAAUCUCAUGUGGAUAUGAGAUCCUUACAGGGUAAGAAAUUUCCUCCAGUCUCAUUGUCAGUAGCCAUUUUUACUCCUGAAGCUAUGUACUUGGAGUGCCUGGACCAAGAUGGAGUAAACAAGCAAAUAGGUCCCUGAGUCCUGUGGGCACUCUGGUACUCCUAGCAGAGUGAAGGCUGUUCUGGAGCUAUUAGCAGCAUCACAAGCCACUGCUCACAACCUGGAAGGAGAAUUCCCAUACCCAACCACUGUGUGUCCCAGCGUGUGAUAUCCAUCCACAAGGAGUUCAUUCAAACUGGUCUGUUGAACAAUAAAAUAUCCCAUCAAACACAUUGUCACUGUAUAGCAACAUCCACCACAAACUGAAAUGCUCUCUGGCAACGACACGUGGUUCCAUCCUAACUUUUGAAAUGUAAGAAUGGGCACCACAGAAGAGGGUGGUACCAAGAGCCCAGCUGAGGGUCCUGCACCCCAUCAAGUCACUUCCCAAUCAGUCACCUGCUUACUUUGUGACUUUUCUGGGCCUCUGAUCCCAGUCUCAGUGAGUGCUGUCGACUAGAAUGCAAGCUCCACAAAGGCACAGAUUUUUGUCUGUUAUGUUUGCUGCUGUGUUCCCAGUGUCUAGAGCAGUAUAUGGCAUGCAGAAAGGCCUUGAAAAAUAUUUGACGAGUAGGCGAAUAAAUGGGAGCCCCUAAAAAGCAGUACCCUUGAGCCAGUACUUGCAAGCAGUACUUGGUGAGCAGUCAUAAAGAAUGUGUUAAGUGAAUGAAUACAUUUCCAAAGUUAAAAUGCCCAAACAAACCAAUCCCUUUGAGAGUGGUUGAGUCUCUUCUGUGUUCCUCUGAGUGGAUCAGGGCUUGUAGCAUCAUCCUAAGCAACAUUCCCUAAGUUUUCCUGCAAGGAGCCACAGUGGAGGAAGACUCCAGAUUACAUGACUAAUCUGGGAGGGAUAUUAAGAUGUUACCUGUGGGUCACCAGGACACAUUCUCAUCACCACUCCCCAGCCAAACACUUACAUACUAAUGCUCAUCUGUGGGGACUGAAGCCAUCUGGCAAAUAUUUAUCAAGGCUCUCUGUGCCUGGCAUUGUGCGGCUGCUCUCUCAGGAAACUGGUGGUAGGUGAGAAAGUGUGACUCUCCACAUAGCUCACCAUCUGGUGGAGGACUGCGAGGUUGCCAAGGAUAGAAGCCAGGACAUUGGUCAGGGGCAGUGCCAUCUGCCGACCCUCUGAGCUCAACGGAGAACACAUCAUUGUUUGCAAAUGGCCAGGGCCUUUCUGAGGCCACUUGGAAGUUCCUUCCCAAUGCCAGAGCUUAAGAAACAAUAAAAACAAAAUUUUCUAGAAUUAACAAUGAGAAGAAAGCAAUGAAACAAACUAUGAAAUUGAAUUAAGAACAGUGAAAAUUUUAUUUGCUUAAGUUUUUUUUAACUUUUCUUUAUUAACUUCGAUGAAAGUUUUCUUUCAAGUCCUUCUAGUCUUUAAAGUUCUCACUCAAUCUUUUCUCUGUGUUGGAGCAAAUUUUGCCUGCUAAUUUCCAAUAAGCACAGCCCUUAAAAAUGAACUGGCUUCAGCAUAUGGAUCUUAACACUCCACAUUUUUACAGGCAGCAGUGUAAUAUUGUUUUAAUAUUUAAUUUUGAGAUUUACAUAAUAUCUUUCCUCCAAAGAGCUCAAUAUAUUGCAAUAUCAUAAAAUUCCUUUUCAUAUUCAAAGAUUAUUCUUUAUGCAUGCAAAUACUAUAUUUAACCAAGGAAUAAUGCAAAUUAGGUGAUGUAUUCAGAGGAAUUGAUGGGCUAGGUAAUUCUUUUGUAAGAAAAUUAGUGUAUCUGAGUGAUUUUAACUGUCUAAGAACUUCAAAAGUGCCUUAAAAAUGGACAAACUAUAGGGGCUUGUAACUAUUAACAGAAAUAGUGCAGCAUUUUUAAAAGAAAAGUAAAUAAUGGGUUGUGUCUGUGUUGUGGGCAUGAUGGAUAGUAUUCCACAUGGAAGUGGCACGCAGGCCAUACAUGAACUGCAUGUAAUAUAAAUGUCAGAUAUAAAUUGUGCUGAUAAGAUCAUGCAAGUGAGGGGAAAAUUGUUGCUUCUUCAAAUACACAAUGAGGAAAGAUAGAGAGGCUCCUCUGAGCAUCAGAAUCAUCCAAUGGCAGGUACCUAGGUUCUGGGCUCCACUUCCUACCUCAUCAUUAGCUCACUGGGAUACAGACUUUGCUACUUUCGUUUCUGGUGCCUACCCCUCCCAGCACAGACUGGAGAAACCAAUAUCUGUUAUGUAUCUGAUACAGAUAACAUCAGUCCCAAACAAAGAAACUGUGAAGGCUUGGAAGGAAACAGUCUAGGGAGAAAAAAUACGGCAAAUUGCUCUCUAGCUGAAGACAUAUUCCCAGAAAUGAUGCUAAUCUCUCAGUCCAUAGCAUAGUUUACAGAGUGAUUUUCUAUCUGCUCUCUCAUUUGCUUGUCCCUAUAGUACUAGGAAGCAGGUAUCAUGACACCUGUUUUAUAGGCAAGAAAUGAGGGAUCUUGCCAGUUAAAUGAACUUGCAUGAUUCAUGUGAGGAGCAGAGAGGGGAAGCAACCCCAGGAAUACCCCACAGCACUCUGCCACCAUGAGCCCAGAGGUGAGGAAGAUGACUGCCCCGUGGUGGAAUGAGAAUGGAAAACAGAGCAUGCUUGGCAGUAAGACUUGGGUUAAUCAGAUUCACCCUCUGAAUCAGAGGUUACAAACCAUCGCCAACAGGCUAAAUCCAGAAUUGGAUUUCUUUGGCUCUCAAGUGCUUUAAAAUUUUCUAAUCAGUUGUCAACAUUUUAAAUCUGGAUUUUCAGCUUAUAAAAUCAGGCAGUGCUGGGCAUGCAACUCUUGCUGGAGCUGAACAAUGGCUGCCUCUAAAGUUCCCUGCAGUCCCCACCACUCUCUAUUGCCUUGUACCUGGCUCUGCUUUGCUCCUCUCCAUUACCUGCCUGGCCUUAGGGGUCUUUGAGUUUGUUCUCUGGCUUAGAUGGUCCCAAGCUCAUGUGCUGGUCUGAUUCAUCUUUUAUACCCCCAAGAUUUCCUCUGAGGUCUUCUUUUCCAACUUUGACACUCCGAGUCUAUUUGACAGAAGAGAGAAGUAAAGUUUGUCAUUCACUUAAUUCUCUCUGACAGCCAGAUGAUCCGGCCAUCAGUCUGAAUCUGGGGCCAGAUGCCAGAGAGUGACUGCAGGAGUUAGUGGUGAUAACAAUCUCUCUGCAGAUCACUUGGCCACUGGAACAGAGAGAGUUGCACCUGAUCUGGUCUAUUUUAAACUCAUGGCAGCUGUAUUCAGUGCAAGGAUGUAUCCCUGAAGACCUCACAUAAAUCUGAGCUUGCAUAAUUCAUGACCAAUCCUGACCAAAGAUGAUGGACAGUUUUUGACAGCUAAAAUGGCCUAGCAAUGUGGCAACAGCUUAGAGAGAGCUUACGACUUACACAGUCCACUAUAAUGUGAUUUUUCAUCAGUCUGAGGAUAAAAUGGCCACAAAACAUCUCACAGCCAAGAAAUGAUGUUUCUCAGAAAUAUCUGCAGCCUAGGGAGGUGCAAAUGAUGUUUCUUAGAAUCCUUUGUUGGCUGUGAGAUGCUGAGCAAAUUCAAAACUGCUCUGACCUAAGUUUCUUCAUCUGACCCACCUUCUCUGUAAAAAGAACAGAAACAAAAACAAAAACAAAACACUUGGUAGGGGUUGGCACAUUGGAGGUGCUCAAAGAUGUCAGUUCUCUGCCACUGCCUUUGGACUGGGUAAGGAUCCAGUCCUGAAACUCUCCAAGUGAUACCUGGUCCUUGAAUAGUCAUGACUAUAUACAUAAUUGGGGUCAUGAUGGGAGAAGAUGAAGGCUCUCUGAAUCUCAGAACUCAACAGACAAGCCUGUCUCUGAGUGAAAAACUGUAUCUACCAUGUGCCCAAUGACCAAAAAACAAAUGAUAGCAAAAAUCUCCAAGGUCUCUUCUUAGAUCACAGCUCUUGGAAUCAAGAAGAGCCUAUUGUUGGAGACUAUGAAAUGGGGAGCCCAGAGGUACUGUCCACUUUUAGGACAGAACACCACAAGGCAGACACAGACAAGGGACAUCCUGCUGAUCUCUUUCUAAUCCUAGAUUCUCCAAAUCCCUUUAAGUCUCUGCUUUCUUAUUAGAAAAAUAGGAACAAUAAUCCCCAAGUCAUUGUGUAAUUAUGAGGAUUAAAUGAGUCCACACAAUUCCAAAAUUCUUUGUGAACUCAAAAGAAACACAAACAUGAGGUGUUAACUAUAAUAAUUAUUACUCAUCUAUUUCUCAAUCAGGACCCACUCAAUAGUCCCCAGCCACUUCACAGUUUGGGCAGUUCCAGACAUAGAGUACGCAUUCAAUAAACACAGGUUGACUUAAUGAUUGAUCCCAGGACUCCUCUUGGUCAAAUUCUUUGCCUGCCAUCUAGCUACUCAUGACUCAAACAGUAGGACAGGUGGCCACAGGCACAGAGAGGGGUCAUACCAUACCAUGAAGCCAGGGGAGGAAGACUGAGCUAGAUCUGACCCAGUGUGAGCUAGAGUGGACCAGCUCAGGGGUAUUCUGGGAAGGUUAGACAUGUCAUGACCUGUUGGUAACACAUGGGUCCACCCACCUCAGCCCUUAAUGGAUCUGAGUCAUUAGAGUUUUUAUGAUGCCUACUUUUUAGUCUCUUGUCCACCUCUGGUAAAAUGCAUAGCUUCUGUUCAUGGUUCUAAACUGUUCUCACAGAAGUUCAGGUUUGAAUGUUUACUUUGAUGGUUCUCAUCUUUAAAAAAAUACUAUCUGUUGGUUGAAAAUAAUUUGUAUUUACACAUAGAUUCAUCAAAUCAGUGCGAUGGCACCCUGUUCCUCAGUCCACAGCCCAUAGAUUAGGAACCACUGGUCAACUUGAUAUUUGUUUUACAAUAACCAUGUGCUACCAAGAAGAAAUUGCAUCCUUCUCUCAGCGAGUGUAAACUCUCUGACACCAGAAUUCCAGAGUUACCAAACAGGGAAUCAUAGAUUGGAAGGUGAUAAUGGAGGCUAGGACUACAAAAUCGGGGAUGAUUAAGAUUAAAGGGCCUGCCAGAGGGGGAACAAAGCACAUGAGAAGUGUGCUCAUGGAGGUGCAAAAGGGUGAGGAUACAAAUGAAUAUUUUGCAUGUUGGUAAUGCAGGGCCCCUUGCAAGAGCCUUGGUCCCCCAGCUCCACUGCAGUCUAGGAAGGUGCAGAUGGCAAGACAAGCAGAUGGGCAGGUUCGGGAAUAGCAGGGUAAGAGAAGGGAGGGCAGAAAUAAAAGCAAACCGAUAUAAGUGGCAGGUUUGUUCGCACAUGCUUAGAGAGAGAGAAAAGACAGCCAAGCCCAGUGUAACAUGACAGCCUGGCAGGAUUGUCAUUCCCAAAAGCUGGGACACUAAAAUAUUUCAGCCAGUUUUCUGCCUAAACUCUUCAAGGGAAAUACUGCUAACAAAGGCUGCCCAUGUUACAUGCUUAACAUAAUGCAGAAAUUACCAUUCUCCUUUCUUUGGGUAAGACAAAAUGUCACAACCUUUGUCUCUACGGCACCAACACUGUGGUCACCAGCUGGAGGCUUCUACAUUUCCACUCUUAUUUUCUCACUACACACGUAUGCAUGUAAACACGUGACCAUACACAUACAUACAAACACACCACAUGAACACACACACACACACCCACACACAGCAGCAACACAGCCAUCUGGACAGACAUGCUCUCCUACGACACCUUUUUUCUUCUCAGUUCUGACAGCUUAAACUCAAGAUUCAUAUGCCAUCAAAGAUGCCUAAGAUGCCUGGUUUUAAAAGAAGCAGAAUGAGUCUGAGGGUGGGGAGGUGAGUAGAAAAGGAUGGAGUAGAAAAGAGGAGGUCAGGGAGGGGGAGAUACACAGAGGAAGAGAGAGCAGAGAUAGAUGCUUGGCUCCUGCUAUUCUACUAACAAGCUGUCCUUUUAGAAUUUGUUAAUUGAGAAAAAUCUAUAAUUCCAAAUAGCAUCACGGUCCACUGCCUAUGACCCCCAUUGCCUGUGCAUGUGAUGUUCACUUCCCCUCUGCAGCCUUGCACGGUAACCCCGGGAGAGAGAUUGCUCAUUUUUCUCUAACUCCCUUGGUAUUUACUGCAUGCAUAUAGCAUUUUACCUUGCAGCUUUGUGCUUUGUAUCUAUAUCCUCUAAAUUCUUCAGUUAAUGAGUUUCAUGGGAGGAACAAUAGUGUCCAAGUAUCACUGCAUCCUUCACUGUGUCUAAUCCACAGCGUGGCACACAGUACAUGCUAAAUGACUGUCUCUUAAUGAUGAACGAAUAAAUAAGUGCAUGAACGGACUCGUUAAAUUGAUAUAAAAAUAAACAGAUUCUUGCAAGAGCUGUGAAAAGUAAUAAAGAGAAAAGAUCAGAAGAGUGUAAGAUUCAGAAAUAAAGAGGAAGAAAAUGUGUUCUGAGCUAUGCAUCCCACAAGGAUGUGCUGGCUAUCAGGAGCGAUCUAUUGCCAUCUAUCUGAGGUCUCAACAGCAGCAUAUCAUUCAUCAGAGCAAGCUAUAAAGGAGAAUACACUUUUGAACUACAUAGAUUUAAUUGGAAAAUGAAGGUAAUAUUGAUUUUAUCAUAUGAUCUCUGGAAAAUUUCUGUCAUUGGGUUUCCAUAAAGCAUCAUUUGUCGUCCUGUUCUCAAAGUCUUUCAGUGCCUCCACUCACUCACCAUCUGUCUGUCCAUCCAUCUGUCCACCUACCUAGCCCUCUGUCCAUCUGUCCAUCCAUUUACACAAUCCUCUGUUUGUCCACUCACACACCUGUCUGUCCAUCUCUUCAUCCAUCUUUCCAACAGGAUUUGUUGAGCUCAGGCUGGAUGAAGAGCACUAGGUCCUAUUCUGGCUUGGAUAUACCUCUUUGCUUUUGUGCUGGGCACAAGAAAAUCCCCUAGUCUGCAGCUCAUUCUCAGAAGCGCAACACUACACCUGCCUGCUCUAUGUGAUCACAAAUGCCCAUCACCUGACACCUUCACUCCUGGGCAGAGGCCUGACAGUACACGGGCAGGAUGGGUGUGGCUGCAGCUGUGUCCCUGCCUAGAGACAAAGAGCCAGCCACACAUCCAAACAGGAGCACAGAAGCCUCC